RNAcentral lists this unclassified non-coding RNA (309 nucleotides) under plant metagenome. RNAcentral's name for it is "partial contains 5.8S ribosomal RNA, internal transcribed spacer 2, and large subunit ribosomal RNA". The stretch from base 1 to 105 matches the Rfam family "5.8S ribosomal RNA", at positions 50 to 154 of the family's 154-position model. The record is from RNAcentral.
GAAAUGCGAUAAGUAGUGUGAAUUGCAGAAUUCAGUGAAUCAUCGAAUCUUUGAACGCACAUUGCGCCCCUUGGUAUUCCAUGGGGCAUGCCUGUUCGAGCGUCAUUUGUACCCUCAAGCUCUGCUUGGUGUUGGGUGUUUGUCCCGUCUCCGCGCGUGGACUCGCCCCAAAGUGAUUGGCAGCCGGCGUACUGGUCCCGGAGCGCAGCACAUGUCGCGCAAACGAGUGCCUUGGUACGGCGGCGUCCAUAAGCCCCUCUCUCACGCUCUUGACCUCGGAUCAGGUAGGGAUACCCGCUGACCUUCAGC